RNAcentral lists this long non-coding RNA (3083 nucleotides) under Cricetulus griseus (Chinese hamster). RNAcentral's name for it is "lncRNA (ENSCGRG00015033447.1)". Lineage: Eukaryota; Metazoa; Chordata; Mammalia; Rodentia; Cricetidae. The record is from RNAcentral.
GUUGACACAAAGUAACCAGUAUGGAGGACAGGCAAGGGAAGAGCCAGGCUACCUUUCUCCUGCGUAUGGCUCGGAAGGGACAGCACGAUUCUGCUUCUGCAUGGCAGUCCCUGAUCUGGCUGGAAGGUGAGGGUGACUCAGCAGCUGGAAGCUAGCCAGCUCUUUUGCCCACAUAUCUGCAUUUGAUGCUGGCUGUUGCUGGGACCUUCGCUGGGACUGUCAGCUGUUGUUGCACUGUGUGCAACUUUUCUUGACUUCCCAGUCCUUCAUUGUUUUGAGAUGGCUGAAGGGGAAGGCGUUUUUGCCCACUGAACUUGUUGCUGAAACUCUAGCUUAUGAUGGCCACUGGAGAGGGAUGCCGUAUUGAACAGAAAGCGGACACGUGAAAUGAUGGAUGAUCUGUGAAAUGAAAGAAGAGCGUCGACUGUCCUUCUUCAGCUGCUUUUCAGUCACUCUGUGAUCUAUGGUGACUUAAGCUACCCUCUCUGAGCAAGGACUUCCUAGACGGGCUGUUCCAGCCUGCCAGGACAGCAAGACCACCGACAGGGAGAUGGGAGAAUUGUAAGAGCUCUGUUGCCUAGUGAAGUCUCUCUGGCAUCUGCCCUCUGGCCUGGGCCAGUGCCCACCAAGGAGGAGGCUAGGUUGGGGUACAGUCGGCCCACAAUCCAGAACAGGGGAGGGGCCUGUGUUUCGGGGUGGGGGCCCCAAGGCAGGAAUCCCCUGAAGCUCUGUGGAACAUCCGGUUUUGAACGACUCCAUUUAGAAGUAGAAGAAAGGCUCUCUGGGGAAAUAGGAAGGCUCUGGCAGGCUUCCCAGGAGAACAGCAAGUUCCAGCCAACUGGAGCUCCGGAAGCAGGGAACUUGUGGGGAAGGAUGGGGCAUAGAGCAAGCAGGCAUCUCAGCCACGGUUUCCCUGGCAAAGCUCUGCUCUGAAGGGAGCAUGUUUCUGAAGACCGGGAGGGUCUCAUCCUCCAGGUUGUUAUGCACAUAGGCAGCAUAUUUCCUGUGAACUCAAUCACAGCACAAAUAAUAAAAACCCAGAAACAGAUAUUGGGGUUAAAGCUGAAGAACAGAAAAACAAAUCAGUCAGCUACUAGAGAGUUCUCACCUCUACCAAUUCUCAGACUGAAGGAGCGAACGUGUCCUCUGAUAGCAUCUCCAAACUGCAUUGCUCCUUAGACUUCGGAUAAUUGGAUAUUGAAUUAUUUAUACUGCUGGAGUUUGGUUUUGCUUUGUUUGGACUGCACUAACUGUUUCCUCUUGAAGUAAGUAUUUAUUUUUGAUUUGAUAGGUGCAAACAAUUGAGAGACUUUGAAUUUUUAUUUAUUUUUGAGUCCAAUGCGUGUUAGUUUUAUUUGAUGAUGAACAAACAAUAUUAACACACCCAGCAACUCCAGUGACUUUUGCUCACACUACUGAGAAGCAAGACUUAGCCCCUCUCUCCAUGGCCAUGCCUCAGCACAGAAGCCCUGUUCUUUAGAGUUACAGGACAUCCACACCUGUGCAGCCACCUGACCUCACUGGACUGUCAGCACUUGACUGAAAUGGAAGCCUUGGGUUGUCUCAGUCGGGGCGGGGCGGGGGGGGGACUCUAAAAAUCAUCUCAGAAGAUGCCACCGUGCCUGGUUCUGGAUGGAGUCCUUGUCAAACCACGUAGAGACAACACUAGUCCUUGCCCCAGUGGAUUUGCUCUUGGCAGAGUACCUUACUUUUCAGAGUUGCGCUUCUUAAAUUAACAAUGCAUCAGAACACCAAACACCCGCAGAUGGAGCCUACUUUUGUGCAAACACAAACUGGGAUGCAAUUAUUAGAAUCACAAGUAUGGGCAGCGGAAAAUCACCCUAAACCUCUAUCCUAGCUCAGAACUCCCUGAGAAUGGGUAGAAAGGAAAGAAGAAGAAACAGCAUGCUUUGCACAACUUGAUAAUACUGUGGGGGGAUCCCCAGGACCACCAGUUUCUACGGCUUCCCUACUUCCCGGAGAGCUGCUCAUAUAGCUUGGGCACGUAGUCGUCCCACUCUGCCUGGUAACAGGUGCUGGCCACAAGGACUCCCAGGAAGUCCUUGGACUUCUUGGAAGGCUGCCACCUUGAACUUGCCGCGGUGAUCUCCAGACCUGUUGCUGAGGAUGGGUUCGUCACAGUUCAGUCGUUUGUCCUGCUUGUACACCAGUCAGAGGUAGCGGUGGAGGCCUGUGCCACUGGGAGGUCCAGAGCCCACGUAAUCUGAGAGAAACUUGCCACUGCUGAUGUCAUUGCCCUUCAUGUUGACCACCAGAAAAUGGUGCCAAUUCCUGGAUUUCCCUGGGUCAAGACCAUCCCAUGAAAUGCUGCUGGGCCUAUUCUUAACCUGGGUGGGCGUCAGCACUUUGCCCAGCUCGUCCACCUCCACGCCGCAUAGGCGACCCGUAGUGCAUGCUGGGGAUGCUGGUCCACCUCUUGCAGGCUCAGCGGCCUGGCAGGCAUGGCGACAAUAAGGGCAGGCACACACGCACUGAGUCCGAAUGCCAAGACUUUGAAUUUUAAAAGACUUUGGAUUUUAAGAGACUGACUUUUUAAAAGAUACUGAAUUUUUAAGUGUUUGAAUUUUUAAAGACUGGGGGACUUUUAAAAUUUGGAAUGUUUAUAUUGUAAGGUUGAUAUUAAUGUGUAAUCUUGGGGAAGAACAACAAAAGAAAGGUUAUGGCUUAACAGUUAUGUAUUUGUGUGUCAGGUUGACAAGGGAUCAAUUGUGCUGGCUAGUUUUAUGUCACCUUGACACAGCUAGAGUUAUCAAAAGGAGGGGAUCUCAAAUGAGAAAAUGUCUCUUUAAGUUUUGACUGUAGGGAUUUUGAUUGAUUAGUGAUUGAUGAGGGAUGGCCCAACCCAUUGUGGGUGGAACUAUCCCUGGGUUGGUAGUUCUUGGUUCUAUAUGAAUUCAUAGGCUGAGCCAGUAAUGAUGAGCAAGCCAGUGAGCAGCAACCUUCCAUGGGUUAUGCAUCAGCUCCUGCCUUCAGGUUUUCAUCUUGUUUGAGUUCCUGUCCUGACUUCCUUCAUUGAUGAACAGUGAUGUGGGAGUGUAAGCUGAAUAAACCCUUUUCUCCCC